Molecule: long non-coding RNA, 496 nt
Filed under: Struthio camelus australis
Lineage: Eukaryota; Metazoa; Chordata; Aves; Struthioniformes; Struthionidae
Description: lncRNA (ENSSCUG00000013298.1)
Source: RNAcentral
GUGAUGCUUUCUGAGCGUGUAAAGCCAGACUUGACUGCUGUUUCCUUUUCGCUUUCAGAGAAGACGCCAAAAGCGAGAGCUGUGGAUUUGGAGAAGUGGACGCUGAUAACCCCUGUCCCACACCUGAGAUGUCCCUGCUACCCCCCGAGGCCACCACCAGUUCAGUUUCUGAGUAAGAAAGAGAGAGAGGACAAUGAGAAAAGAAGAACAGAUCUUCAGUUCCAGAUCAAUACAUCGGAUGACAUGCGACACGUCGAGUAGGAAAGACGAAUUGCAGGGUUCGGCAAAACGGAUAAAUGUUAGUCAGUUAGCGAUGAGCUAGUCAGCGACGAGAAACGGAUGUUCAGACAGCCGGUCGUAUCCAAAACAGAUAGAUAGGGUCAAAUGCUUUACCGGUGUGCACCAGUAUACCUCUGUUGAGAGGUAUGCGUGUUAUACCGUUGAGGGGUGUAUAUAUACCUCUCUUUCUACCCCGCCUAAGGAGACUGAGAGCUGC